GGAUCCCACGCUGUAGACUAGUUGUGGGGACCAUUCCACGGUUUCCGUGACGCAGCUAACGCAUUAAGUUCCCCGCCUGGGGAGUACGGCCGCAAGGCUAAAACUCAAAGGAAUUGACGGGGACCCGCACAAGCGGCGGAGCAUGCGGAUUAAUUCGAUGCAACGCGAAGAACCUUACCAAGGCUUGACAUAUACGAGAACGGGCCAGAAAUGGUCAACUCUUUGGACACUCGUAAACAGGUGGUGCAUGGUUGUCGUCAGCUCGUGUCGUGAGAUGUUGGGUUAAGUCCCGCAACGAGCGCAACCCUCGUUCUAUGUUGCCAGCACGUAAUGGUGGGAACUCAUGGGAUACUGCCGGGGUCAACUCGGAGGAAGGUGGGGAUGACGUCAAAUCAUCAUGCCCCUUAUGUCUUGGGCUUCACGCAUGCUACAAUGGCCGGUACAAAGGGCUGCAAUACCGUGAGGUGGAGCGAAUCCCAAAAAGCCGGUCCCAGUUCGGAUUGAGGUCUGCAACUCGACCUCAUGAAGUCGGAGUCGCUAGUAAUCGCAGAUCAGCAACGCUGCGGUGAAUACGUUCCCGGGUCUUGUACACACCGCCCGUCAAGUCAUGAAAGUCGGUAACACCUGAAGCCGGUGGCCCAACCCUUGUGGAGGGAGCCGUCGAAGGUGGGAUCGGUAAUUAGGACUAAGUCGUAAAAAGGUAGCCGUACCGGAAGGUGC
This 720-nucleotide ribosomal RNA is filed under the name Microbacterium testaceum. Its description in RNAcentral is "bacterial SSU rRNA". It matches the Rfam family "Bacterial small subunit ribosomal RNA", at positions 799 to 1515 of the family's 1533-position model. Lineage: Bacteria; Bacillati; Actinomycetota; Actinomycetes; Micrococcales; Microbacteriaceae. The record is from RNAcentral.